RNAcentral lists this ribosomal RNA (2348 nucleotides) under Globobulimina sp. RNAcentral describes it as "bacterial LSU rRNA". It matches the Rfam family "Bacterial large subunit ribosomal RNA", at positions 187 to 2466 of the family's 2925-position model. The record is from RNAcentral. Lineage: Eukaryota; Foraminifera; Rotaliida; Buliminidae.
AGGGAAUUGAAACAUCUUAGUACCUUCAGGAAUAGAAAUCAAUAGAGAUUUCCAAAGUAGCGGCGAGCGAAAUGGAAAUAGCCUAAACUUGGACUGUGUCAAGCCUACAAGCGUUGCAGUCUGAGGGUUGUGGGACGAUUUUGGAUGAGAUUGUAGUCUCGUCGGGAAGUCAAAAAUCCAAUUGCUAAUUAAAGGACCUGGAAAGGUCUGCCAUAGAGGGUGAUAGCCCCGUAAAUGAAAGCAUUUGGACUUCCUGGAAAUUGUUCCCGAGUAGGGCGGAACACGUGAAAUUCCGUUUGAAUCUGGGUCGACCAUGAUCCAAGGCUAAAUACUCUCUUGUGACCGACAGUGAACUAGUACCGUGAGGGAAAGGUGAAAAGUACUUCUGGCGAAGAGUGAAAUAGAACCUGAAACCGUAUGUCUACAAGCGGUCGAACCGGAAUUUAGUUCCGGAACGGCGUGCCUUUUGCAUAAUGAGCCUGGGAGUUACUCCUAUGUUGCAAGGUUAAGGAAGAUAUCCGGAGCCGUAGCGAAAGCGAGUCUUAAUAGGGCGAUUAGUAACAUGGGGUAGACCCGAAGCUGAGUGAGCUUACCAUGGUCAGGAUGAAGCUGUAGUAAAAUACAGUGGAGGUCCGAACCAGGAUGGGUUGAAAACCGUUUGGAUGAACUGUGGUAAGGGGUGAAAGGCCAAUCAAACUCAGCGAUAUCUGGUUCUCUUCGAAAUAGCUUUAGGGCUAGCGUCGGUACCGAGUGUUACGGGGGUAGAGCACUGAAUGGGCUAGGGGUCCCACAAGAUUACCAAACCCAAUCAAACUCCGAAUACCGUAACAUGCUUACCGGCAGUCAGGCAGUGGGGGAUAAGCUUCAUUGCCGAAAGGGAAACAGCCCAGACCGUCAGCUAAGGUCCCUAAAUCUGUGCUAAGUGAUAAAGGAUGUGAAAUUGCUAAAACAGCUAGGAGGUUGGCUUAGAAGCAGCCACCCUUGAAAGAGUGCGUAACAGCUCACUAGUCGAGGAAUUUUGCGCCGAUAAUCGUCGGGACUAUAAGCACAGUACCGAAGCUUUGGAUUUUGAAUUUAUUCAAAGUGGUAGAAGAGCGUUCUGUUAACCGUUGAAGGCAUACCGGAAGGAUUGCUGGAGGACACAGAAAUGAUUAUCCAGGCACGAGUAGCGAUAAACCAGGUGAGAUUCCUGGUCACCGAAAGCCUAAGGUUUCCUGAGUAAAGCAACUCUGCUCAGGGUUAGUCGGACCCUAAGGCGAGGCCGAAAGGCGUAGUCGAUGGGAAACGGGUUUAAUAUUCCCGUACCACUUAUAUAGCGUUUGAGCUAUGGGGAACACAGAAGUGAAAGUUCAGCCAGCGAUUGAAAGUGCUGGUUUAAGGCCGUAGGGCGAUCCGAUAGGCAAAUCCGUUGGAUCAUUAAACCUGAGAGCUGAAUAGGAGGGCCUAGCCCAUAAACUGAACCUAAUCCCGCUGUCAAGAAAACCCUCUAUGUUAGUUAUAUAGGUGACCGUACCGCAAACCAACACAGGUAGGCGAGAUGAGUAUUCUAAGGUGCGCGAGAGAACUCUGGUUAAGGAACUCGGCAAAUUAACUCCGUAACUUCGGGAGAAGGAGUGCCUGCCGAUGAUAUCUCUUUACGAGAAAAGAUAGGUAGGCCGCAGUGAAAUGGCCCAAGCGACUGUUUACCAAAAACACAGGUCUCUGCUAAGUCGUAAGACGAAAUAUAGGGACUGACACCUGCCCGGUGCUGGAAGGUUAAUAGGAGCGCUUAGACUUCGGUCGAAGGUGUGAAUUGAAGCCCCAGUAAACGGCGGCCGUAACUAUAACGGUCCUAAGGUAGCGAAAUUCCUUGUCGGGUAAGUUCCGACCUGCACGAAUGGUGUAACGAUUUGGGCACUGUCUCGACCAGAGACUCGGCGAAAAUGAAGUGUCGGUGAAGAUGCCGGCUACCCGCGGCAGGACGGAAAGACCCCGUGAACCUUUACUACAGCUUGACAUUGGGUUUUGGUUUUUAUUGUAGAGAAUAGAUGGGAGGCUUUGAAGCAGUGACGCCAGUUGUUGUGGAGCCGUCUUUGGAAUACCAUCCUAUAAUUGCUGAAAUUCUAACCAGGUACCUUGAAUCAGGUACUGGGACAUUGUCUGGUGGGUAGUUUGACUGGGGCGGUCUCCUCCUAAACAGUAACGGAGGAGCGCAAUGGUUCCCUCAGCACGGUCGGUAAUCGUGCGUAGAGUGUAAACGCAUAAGGGAGCUUGACUGCGAGACAUACAGGUCGAGCAGGUGCGAAAGCAGGUGUUAGUGAUCCGGUGGUUCCGAGUGGAAGGGCCAUCGCUCAACGGAUAAAAGGUAC